This 468-nucleotide ribosomal RNA is filed under the name uncultured bacterium. RNAcentral describes it as "partial 16S ribosomal RNA". It matches the Rfam family "Bacterial small subunit ribosomal RNA", at positions 28 to 507 of the family's 1533-position model. The record is from RNAcentral.
GACGAACGCUGGCGGCGUGCUUAACACAUGCAAGUCGAACGGCAAGGCCCUGCUUUUGUGGGGUUCUCGAGUGGCGAACGGGUGAGUAACACGUGAGUAACCUGCCCUUCACUUUGGGAUAACUUCAGGAAACUGGGGCUACUCCCGUAUCGGAUCUCCUGCUCCAUGGUGGGGAUUGGAAAUUUUCGGCGGGUGGGGAUGGACGCGCGGCUUAUCAGCUUGUUGGUGGGGUAGUGGCUUACCAAGGCUUUGACGGGUAGCCGGCCUGGGAGGGUGACCGGCCACAUUGGGACUGAGAGACGGCCCAGACUCCUACGGGAGGCAGCAGUGGGGAAUAUUGUACAAUGGGCGGAAGCCUGAUGCAGCAACGCCGCGUGCGGGAUGACGGCCUUCGGGUUGUAAACCGCUUUCGCCUGUGACGAAGCGUGAGUGACGGUAAUGGGUAAAGAAGCACCGGCUAACUACGUG